AGUCACUGACAUUAGACUACCCGGGUAGUCCCAGCCGUAAACUAUGCGCGUUAGGUGUAUCGGUGACCACGAGUUACCGAGGUGCCGAAGGGAAGCCGUGAAACGUGCCGCCUGGGAAGUACGGUCGCAAGGCUAGAAACUUAAAGGAAUUGGCGGGGGAGCACCACAACGGGUGGAGCCUGCGGUUUAAUUGGACUCAACGCCGGGAAGCUCACCGGAUAAGACAGCGGAAUGAUUGCCGGGCCGAAGACUCUGCAUGACUAGCUG
RNAcentral lists this ribosomal RNA (267 nucleotides) under uncultured archaeon. RNAcentral's name for it is "partial 16S ribosomal RNA". It matches the Rfam family "Archaeal small subunit ribosomal RNA", at positions 719 to 982 of the family's 1478-position model. The record is from RNAcentral.